UACGUAGGGUGCAAGCGUUAAUCGGAAUUACUGGGCGUAAAGCGUGCGCAGGCGGUUUCGUAAGUCUGGCGUGAAAUCCCCGGGCUUAACCUGGGAAUGGCGAUGGAGACUGCGAGGCUAGAGUUUGGCAGAGGGGGGUAGAAUUCCACGUGUAGCAGUGAAAUGCGUAGAGAUGUGGAGGAACACCGAUGGCGAAGGCAGCCCCCUGGGUCAAAACUGACGCUCAUGCACGAAAGCGUGGGGAGCAAACAGG
RNAcentral lists this ribosomal RNA (253 nucleotides) under uncultured bacterium. RNAcentral describes it as "partial 16S ribosomal RNA". It matches the Rfam family "Bacterial small subunit ribosomal RNA", at positions 524 to 776 of the family's 1533-position model. The record is from RNAcentral.